UAUACCAAGAUUUAACCCCUCAGAGACUGAUCCCUAUUCGAUUUUUUCGAAAACGGGUGAGAUAGAAAGGAUUCGGGAAACCGAUUAAGUUUCUAUCAGACGCCGAGCCCCAGGAUACUGGGUGGUGAUAUAGUCCAACAUCAUACAUACAACAUACAUAUAUGUGUGGCCAGCAGCAGCGGUAAUACAGAGCCCCCGAGCGUUAUCCGGAUUGAUUGGGCGUAAAGUGUCCGUAGCCGGUUUGGAAAGUCGCAGGUUAAAUACCAAGGGCUCAACCUUUGGGAUGCUUGCGAAACUUCCAGACUAGAGGGUGUCAGAGGGUGAUAGAACGCACGGUGGAGGGGUGAAAUCCGUUGAUAUCGUGCGGAAUACCAAAAGCGAAGGCAUUCACCUGGGGCAACCCUGACGGUGAGGGACGAAAGCGUGGGGCGAGAAAAGGAUUAGAUACCCUUGUAUUCCACGCUGUAAACGAUGGAUACUGGCCAUGUGAAGUGUCGACCCUUUACGUGGCGAAGCUAACGCGUUAAGUAUCCCGCCUGGGAAGUACGGCCGCAAGGCUAAAACUCAAAGGAAUAGACGGGGACCCACACAAGCGGUGGAUCAUGCGGCUUAAUUCGUAACUAACCGAGGAACCUCACCAGGGUUUGACACUCUAAUGCAACCCCGAUGAAAGUCGGGGCCUCCGCAAGGACAUUAGAGCAGGUGAUGCACGGCUGUCGUCAGCAUGUACCUUGAGGCGCUCCGUUAAAUCGGGCAACAUGCGCAACCCCUAUCCUGUGUUUUACGUGUCACAGGAAACUGCCUGGGACAACCAGGAGGAAGGUGGGGAUGACGCCAAGUCAGCGUGUCCUUUUGAUACCCUGGGCUGCACGCAUGAUACAAUGGAGCCGACAACGGGUUGCGAAGCCGCAAGGCGGAGCUAAUCCCUAAACGGCCCCCCAGUUCGGAUUGAGGUCUGCAAUUCGACCUCAUGAAGCCGGAAUCGCUAGUAAUCGCCAAUCAGCUAUGUGGCGAUGAAUAUGUUCCUGGGUCUUGUACUCACCGCCUGUCACGCCAAGCGAGCUGGGAAUGCCCAAAGUCCUUCUUCGGAAGGCCUAAGGCAGGCUCAGUGAGAGGGGCGAAGUCAUAACAAGGCACGCGUAGGGGAACCUUCGCUUGUAAUUUUUCUUUU
This 1171-nucleotide ribosomal RNA is filed under the name Candidatus Yanofskyibacteriota bacterium. RNAcentral describes it as "bacterial SSU rRNA". It matches the Rfam family "Bacterial small subunit ribosomal RNA", at positions 401 to 1533 of the family's 1533-position model. Lineage: Bacteria; Candidatus Yanofskyibacteriota. The record is from RNAcentral.